CGGGGAGGUAGUGACGAAAAAUAACGAUACGGGACUCAUCCGAGGCCCCGUAAUCGGAAUGAGUACACUUUAAAUCCUUUAACGAGGAUCAAUUGGAGGGCAAGUCUGGUGCCAGCAGCCGCGGUAAUUCCAGCUCCAAUAGCGUAUAUUAAAGUUGUUGCGGUUAAAAAGCUCGUAGUUGAAUCUGUGUGUCACAGUGUCGGUUCACCGCUCGCGGUGUCUAACUGGCAUUAUGUGAUACGUCCUACCGGUGGGCUUAGCUCCUCACGGGGCGGUCCAACAGACAUCCCAUCGCGGUGCUCUUCACUGAGUGUCGAGGUGGGCCGGUACGUUUACUUUGAAUAAAUUAGAGUGCUUAAAGCAGGCUAUUUUCGCCUGAAUACUAUGUGCAUGGAAUAAUGGAAUAGGACCUCGGUUCUAUUUUGUUGGUUUCCGGAACCCCGAGGUAAUGAUUAAUAGGGACAGAUGGGGGCAUUCGUAUUGCGACGUUAGAGGUGAAAUUCUUGGAUCGUCGCAAGACGGACUAAAGCGAAAGCAUUUGCCAAAAAUGUUUUCAUUAAUCAAGAACGAAAGUUAGAGGUUCGAAGGCGAUCAGAUACCGCCCUAGUUCUAACCAUAAACGAUGCCAACCAGCGAUCCGCCGAUGUUCCUCCGAUGACUCGGCGGGCAGCUUCCGGGAAACCAAAGUUUUUGGGUUCCGGGGGAAGUAUGGUUGCAAAGCUGAAACUUAAAGGAAUUGACGGAAGGGCACCACCAGGAGUGGAGCCUGCGGCUUAAUUUGACUC
Molecule: ribosomal RNA, 785 nt
Filed under: Xylocopa violacea
Lineage: Eukaryota; Metazoa; Arthropoda; Insecta; Hymenoptera; Apidae
Description: SSU rRNA
Rfam family: Eukaryotic small subunit ribosomal RNA
Source: RNAcentral